RNAcentral lists this ribosomal RNA (465 nucleotides) under uncultured bacterium. RNAcentral describes it as "partial 16S ribosomal RNA". It matches the Rfam family "Bacterial small subunit ribosomal RNA", at positions 338 to 795 of the family's 1533-position model. The record is from RNAcentral.
CCUACGGGUGGCAGCAGUGGGGAAUAUUGCUCAAUGGGCGAAAGCCUGACGCAGCGACGCCGCGUGAGGGAUGAAGGUCUUCGGAUCGUAAACCCCUGUCAGCAGGGAAGAACGGUCACUGUGCUAAUCAGCAGUGAAUUGACGGUACCGUCAAAGGAAGCACCGGCUAACUUCGUGCCAGCAGCCGCGGUAAUACGGAGGGUGCGAGCGUUAGUCGGAAUUACUGGGCGUAAAGCGGUCGUAGGCGGGAUUGUAAGUCAAGGGUGAAAUCCCCGCGCUUAACGUGGGAACUGCCUUUGAAACUGGGAGACUGGAGUGUGUGAGAGGAUAGUGGAAUUCCAGGUGUAGGAGUGAAAUCCGUAGAUAUCUGGAGGAACAUCAGUGGCGAAGGCGACUAUCUGGCACAUAACUGACGCUGAGGAGCGAAAGCGUGGGUAGCAAACAGGAUUAGAUACCCUUGUAGUC